AGGUUCCAAAAGAUGUCAUGAAGAAUUUCUUUGAGAGAAUUUGCGUGAGCUGAUCUGUAGCAGUGCGGAAGGUGAGCUUGGCUGCCGGCAGCAGCUCCUUUGGCUGAUCUGCGGCGAUGCAGAAGUUGGGUUGGAAAAGAGCACGACCGGCUGCUCUGAAGUGGGUCGUAGGGAGAGCUUCGUAAGAGAUAGGGAGGGAGCUCUAUUGGCCCGUGCAUGACAUCCAACCCAAUGGCAUCAUGCCCUGGUAGGCAUGGUUGCAUGGCCACGGGGAGAAUGGAGCAAGUAGCGUGUGAGGAGUUUAAGAAAUGGGGACAAGGGACAGUUUAGUUAAUUAAGUCUAUGUUAGUUUCAAGUUUUAUCCUUGUUGCGGUAAAAAAUUAAGGUUGAAUUAACCACCAUGUACAUCUUUAAUUACUUUUAAAUAAGAAAUAUAAUCAAAAUAUUCUUUUGA
Molecule: long non-coding RNA, 454 nt
Organism: Triticum aestivum (bread wheat)
Lineage: Eukaryota; Viridiplantae; Streptophyta; Magnoliopsida; Poales; Poaceae
Exons: 3
Source: RefSeq, a predicted model, not a curated record